Molecule: unclassified non-coding RNA, 334 nt
Filed under: soil metagenome
Description: partial contains 5.8S ribosomal RNA, internal transcribed spacer 2, and large subunit ribosomal RNA
Rfam family: 5.8S ribosomal RNA (bases 1-120)
Source: RNAcentral
GAUGAAGAACGUAGCGAAAUGCGAUAAGUAGAGUGAAUUGCAGAAUUCAGUGAAUCAUCGAAUCUUUGAACGCACAUUGCGCCCCUUGGUAUUCCAUGGGGCAUGCCUGUUCGAGCGUCAUUUGUACCUUCAAGCUCUGCUUGGUGUUGGGUGAUUGUCUAUCUUUAUAGACUCGCCUUAAAGUCAUUGGCAGCCGGCAUAUUGGCCUGGGAGCGCAGCACAAGUCGCGCUUCUUGUCAUGAAUGUUGGCGUCCAGUAAGUCUACAUAUUUUGCUCUUGACCUCGGAUCAGGUAGGGAUACCCGCUGAACUUAAGCAUAUCAAUAAGCGGAGGA